Aphis gossypii (cotton aphid) is the source of this 363-nucleotide long non-coding RNA. RefSeq lists it as uncharacterized. The transcript is spliced from 3 exons. Lineage: Eukaryota; Metazoa; Arthropoda; Insecta; Hemiptera; Aphididae. The record is from RefSeq and is a predicted model, not a curated record.
AACUAGUUUAAUUAUUUGUUUACAACAAUAUAGUUUGAAUAGUUAAACAACAAAAUUAAUUUAAUAUCGAUGAAAACUUCUAAUUAUAUAGUUUUAUUCGUCAUUAUUGUAAGUAGCUUUGCCUACGAUAAUAAAUGGUCAGAUAAGCAAAAAGUUUCAAAACGUAUUAAAAGAAUUAAACAAAAGUUGGACAACUUUAAACAAUUGGCAAUUUUGUCACGUAAAAUAUGUACAGCACAAAUGAAUAACUGUUAUGACGACACGAAUUUGGAAAGUGAACUUUCAAUGCAUAAAGAAAACGGAUGUGUACAGACUAAGAAAUCGGUUUAUUUGUAUUUUAUUAGUUGUGUUGGUGUAUUAUUA